Homo sapiens (human) is the source of this 817-nucleotide long non-coding RNA. The record is from Ensembl. NCBI's taxonomy places the organism in Eukaryota, Metazoa, Chordata, Mammalia, Primates, Hominidae.
AAAGUGCUCCCAAAGCUUGCUGGCACAUAAACAUGAAUGAAUGAACAAUGUAGAAUUCACUCAAGAAAUUUCAAGGAGAGAGAGGAGGAGAUUUACAUCACACAGCAAACAACCUAAUAAAUCUGUUAAACGCCAUGCAUGUGAAUAGGCGUUUUCCUCUUUUUGACCCUUUCUUUCCACAUAGAACUCAGUGCUCCUUCCUCGUCCUCCGUUACAGUAUUUAUCGCCUUCCUUCUUCCACGCCGGGGAGCAGUCGAGGCUUGUGUUCUUCAGCGGACUUGCCAAAUCAUCCCCUCCAGCAUGCUGCUCUCUCCCUUCCACAGAUCAUCUGUUAAGAAAAUACAUUUUUCAUGUCGUUAAUUUACAUAUACAUGUGCAUUAUAUAUAUGUUUAUACAAUGAGAGAUUGUUAGGAAAAUCACUACCACAUAUACAUGCAUUAUAUAUAUUACAUAUACAUACAUAUGCAUUAUAUAUAUACCUGCACACACAUGCAUAUGGAAAAUUGUUAGGAAAAACAGCACAGUGGUAGUGUUAGUGCUGGUUGUCUUUCGGUGGUGAGAUUAUACAUUUUUUUCUAUAAUUUUCUGUAUUUUCCUAAUUUUCUGUGAUCCAUAUAUGUUUUUAAUCAUCAAAAGAUGUUGAAAUUUAAACCAUGUUCUACGUACAUUUUACAUCCCCAUUUAAAGCUUUCUCAUGGUUCUCCAUGGCCUGCAGGAUGAUGCUUGAUGUUCAGCUUAAGAGCUUCCUCUCCUCACUUCCCACCCCUCUGUCACUUGUAGCUCAUGCCCUAAUAAUACCAGAGUGUUUCCUGUGCA